Molecule: long non-coding RNA, 1474 nt
Organism: Manihot esculenta (cassava)
Lineage: Eukaryota; Viridiplantae; Streptophyta; Magnoliopsida; Malpighiales; Euphorbiaceae
Exons: 2
Source: RefSeq, a predicted model, not a curated record
GCCAAGUCUUAAUUCUCACGCCAUUGUCGGUGUCGUAUAUUGUGCAAUUCUUCACAUAAAUUCCAGACACAGGUUCUUCCUUCUCGUACUUUCCUAAACUUCCAAUACUAAUGCCAUGCCCGUGUCCGCACCUUACGUUUGUGAUUCGUACUUGCCUGCUCCCCCGGCCAAUGGAGAUGCAAUCAUCACCGGUCAUAAUGUUUGAAUCAAUAAUGUUGAUCUCCUCCGACCGUCCAAUGUGAAUUCCAUCCGUGUUGGGACUAUGCCCCGGCGCUUUCACCGAAAAUCGCUGGAAGGUAAGGUUUUUGCUGCCGAGGAGAUUGACGUGGAACUGCUUGCUAUCUAUGGAUGUCACGUCCUCGACUAUGCUGUUGGUGACGAAGUCAAACCUUAGGUUCUGAUACAGUUUUGAUAGAACAGUUACGCAGAGAAAACGUAGUUAGUAUUACUGCCAUGAACGGGCCUAUGAAUGACCGUUAGUAAAGUAGCGUUCGGAUUUUCUUACAACUGGAAGUGCUUUCUUGCAUCCGCCGCCACAGCUCUCCCGCUGCCAAGCAAUUUCUCCUUGUCCGUCGAAGGCCCCACCACCGGAUACCGUUAAUCGGUCCAGGUAUCUCAAUGUAACCCAGCUAUUCUUGCGGUGCUGGCUAGCUUUUGCUGGCGCCACCAACGUUCCUUCCACUUGAAGAUGCAUGGCACCCUUGCAAGGGCCUAGCAAAUCCACCACGCCUAAUGAGUACUUCCCUUUUGGUAUCACGACUUUGCCGGAACCCGCUGCUCCACAAGCCCCCUUCCACGCACUCAGUAAAGCCUAAAAACGAAAACGGCAAUGAAAGACCUGACAGCAAUAAUCUAGGAAAUACCGUCGCGAUAUCGAGAACCGAGUUUACUUUCAUACCUUAGUGAUAUCCGACCCCUCCUUCGCACCAUAUUUUGUGACAUCAAAGGUAUUGGGCUGAGCUCCGCUGGGAAAGGCGAACAGUAACACCAAAUAUGCUGCGCACACAUGUACCUUGGAACCCAUAUCUCUCUUUUCAAGGCGCUUCCUCUCCUUCGAUAUCUACAGCCUAUAUUGAUUUCUAAAUGUUUGUGCAUUUCUCCUCCUCUGUAAGGCCUUUUAUAUUUCAGGCGGCUCGUUUAAUUUACUCAAGGUUUAUUACAGGCUGUAGCAUUUUCAUACAUCCCGUUUUCUGUUUUUCCUUUUUGUUUUGCGUUAAAUGUUUUGAGCUUAAAAAAAAAAAGGCCUACGUACGCUAACCUGCAACUAAAAACUACAACUUCCGCAUUUCUCUCUAACAUAUUCUUUUAUAUUGGAACCCUGUAUAACUUAUGCAACAACCUCUUCGUUCUCCCACAAUAUUCUGGACGUAUUGGACGCGAAACGAGCCCGGAGACCGCACCCGCAAUUCAUUUCCUCACGCGUGCAUGUAGGACAAAAUUUUGACAAGUACAGUGCAACAUGAAAAGAGGAAAA